GCUCUUCCUGUGAGGAGGAGAUCGCGUUUCCCCGCGGCACCCGCGGACACCAGGCAGCCCGGGCGGGUGCGCGGCCAGGACCCGCUCCCCGCGCCGCCUGCUCCCCGCGUUCCCGGGCGCCGCCCCCGCCCGCGUCUAGGCUCCGAGAGGCGACUUGGAGAGCAAGGCGGCGAGGGCGACUGGCGAGCCGAGCAGGCCGCCCAGCCCGCGGCUCAAGCGUCGGCGCGAGGAGGGGGCACCGCGGCCCACCUCCUUCCUGCCUGGCCGCGGGCCGGUCGGGCCGCCGCGCCUGACCCCCAUGGCCGCCGAGGCCUCCGGGCCGCUACGUCGCAGCGCCAGACGCAGGGUCCCCGAGUGAGCGCGGGCGCCGAGUGCUCUCCGAGGUCCUGGUCUUCAAGAUAUCUGGCAGCAACAACCUUGACUUUGGAAUGCUUGAGGCACUGCCCCAGGGGACGCCUGGAGCCAGCACAGCACAGCUGCCUCAGGCCCCACCUGCCAUUUCCUCUUUGCCCUUUUGCUUUCCCAGAGCCACCCCCUUGGGCCAAAAAAAGCCUGAAAGAGAGGAAAUGAAUUGGUCCUUAUUUCCCCCAUGGAGGUCCAGGGAGGUCCAGAGAGACAUUCGUGUGUUCACUCAUUGAAUUAGUGAUUUUUGAAACACCUGUGAAUUACUAGGUCCUAUGGUAUGUGUUGGAUGGUCCUCUUGCCACAUCCGCCUACAGACCCACUUUGAAGUCUCUCCCCCUCCCCACCCCCAUUGUUUGGAGGAAAAAUCUGUUGGUUGCCAGUGAGUAAUCCUUGGGCAAAUUCAUCUCCAUUUUCCAGUUUUUGGUGUUGAUUCCUGCGGUUCUCUCCCAUCAGGUCAUGGUUGGUGGAGCUGGCCAUAGUCUGCUAGGUGAGAUGCCCAGCCCACCACUUGGCUACAGUCCCCACCCCUUCCUAGUAAGCCCCUCUUGACCACAUUUCACAUGGUAGUGUUGGCUUCCCAACUAUAAGCCCAGAUUCAUGUGGCUUUUCAUCAGUCCUGAGACCUUGUGUGACCCUCAGUCACUCUAGGACAUGGGAUGGGAAGAGAAAAGCACCCACUAGCUUUCAUUUCAGUUAAUGAGAGAAUUUAUGCUAGGUUCUUAGAACUGGCCUAUGCUUAGGCUCCCCUUGUUUUUUAUUAUCAGUGUUGCAUGAACCACAUGAAGGCUUCAACCUGGUCCGAGGACCCUGUGUGUCUCAUGGCAUCUCAGUUUGGAGAAGCACCCCUAGCCUCUGGGUGGGCCUUUCUGGGAGUCCCAUUCUGGGAUGGGCUUUCCCCCCAGAGUCAAAUCCCAGUCUACUCCCUGCUCCCCAGCCUGGCCUCAGGAAGUCCCAGCUCCAGCUCCUGGUCAGCCUGCUCCAGGGCAGCUACCCCAUAGGCUUUACCUUCUUAUGCUAAUAAGCUACAUUAAUGCUUAAAGGUCACAAAUGCCCAAGUUUAAUGGGGGG
RNAcentral lists this long non-coding RNA (1473 nucleotides) under Heterocephalus glaber (naked mole-rat). RNAcentral describes it as "lncRNA (ENSHGLG00100044327.1)". The record is from RNAcentral. Lineage: Eukaryota; Metazoa; Chordata; Mammalia; Rodentia; Bathyergidae.